Nannospalax galili (Upper Galilee mountains blind mole rat) is the source of this 935-nucleotide long non-coding RNA. RefSeq lists it as uncharacterized. NCBI's taxonomy places the organism in Eukaryota, Metazoa, Chordata, Mammalia, Rodentia, Spalacidae. The record is from RefSeq and is a predicted model, not a curated record. The transcript has 2 exons.
UCAUCCCCAGGUUGUUCUUGGUAGCCUAUUGGUCUCUGCGAGCACAGCCUUGAUGCACAUUGCUUUUCUCCUUCACCAAAGCAUGGGAUUCCCAGGAUUGGAGUCGCUCUGAAUGCUGGGCCAGAGACUGAAGCUCCUCGUCGUCCUCUAAACACCGUCCCAGGCAGCCCUGUCUGUGCAAUUCUCUUAGUUCCUUCCUGCUCUAGUGUGGCCUCACAGACUACAGAAGUGAAGAGCUUUUUACUGAGUUCAGAGUUUAAACAAAGAGAAAAAAGAAAGCAGUUUCUCAGCAGAAAAAUGCAACAAAGACUUUACUUCUUACCAAAUAACUUAAGAAUGUCUGAACAAAAACAUCCAAACCUCGCUAGUGCCAAAAUUUCUCAGAUAAGUCAAGAGAGGAGAAAAACAGUGUAAACCCAAAGCAGCCAGAAAUCUACGGAUGGAAAGAGAGAAAACAGGAUGUAAUGCGCAUGUAGAUGCCGGUCAUUUGAAGAAUACACUGACAGGAGUGUCCUGGGAGUACCUGUGAUGCAUGGGUGUGUUUUCUACUAAAUGUUGUUUGGAAACAAUCAGUAGGUGAGCCCCUGCAGACCCACCCCACUCUCCUCCAGGAACUCUUCCAAACUCUGGGGCUUCAGGCGGCCCUUGGCACCCCCACUGUCUACCUAGCUGCAAACUCCAUCAGGCGCCUCUUAUGUAUCAGGUCACAAAGCAAUCCAGCUGUGAGCUGGUUCUUCUCACACAGGACGCAGGACGGCAAGGCUCAUGGCUAUAGAAAUAAAGAUUUGGAUCUCCCUUCUCCUAAGUGCCUGCCACCGGGCCUUGAAGCCAUAGGAAUGGAUUGACUGGCUUACCAAUCUACAAAUGUUUUCUCCAAACCAACAGAGACUAUAAAUCUGAAAGAGCGCUGCUUCCUAUUACCAUGAAAAAAAAAA